UACGUAGGGGGCAAGCGUUAAUCGGAAUUACUGGGCGUAAAGCGUGCGCAGGCGGUUAUGUAAGACAGAUGUGAAAUGCCCGGGCUUAACCUGGGAACUGCAUUUGUGACUGCAUGGCUAGAGUUUGGCAGAGGGGGGUAGAAUUCCACGUGUAGCAGUGAAAUGCGUAGAUAUGUGGAGGAACACCGAUGGCGAAGGCAGCCCCCUGGGUCAAGACUGACGCUCAUGCACGAAAGCGUGGGGAGCAAACAGG
Molecule: ribosomal RNA, 253 nt
Filed under: uncultured bacterium
Lineage: Bacteria
Description: partial 16S ribosomal RNA
Rfam family: Bacterial small subunit ribosomal RNA
Source: RNAcentral